This 495-nucleotide ribosomal RNA is filed under the name uncultured bacterium. Its description in RNAcentral is "partial 16S ribosomal RNA". It matches the Rfam family "Bacterial small subunit ribosomal RNA", at positions 28 to 507 of the family's 1533-position model. The record is from RNAcentral.
GACGAACGCUGGCGGCGUGCCUAAUACAUGCAAGUAGAACGCUGAAGGAGGAGCUUGCUCUUCUGGAUGAGUUGCGAACGGGUGAGUAACGCGUAGGUAACCUGCCUGGUAGCGGGGGAUAACUAUUGGAAACGAUAGCUAAUACCGCAUAAGAGUAGAUGUUGCAUGACAUUUACUUAAAAGGUGCAUUUGCAUCACUACCAGAUGGACCUGCGUUGUAUUAGCUAGUUGGUGGGGUAACGGCUUACCAAGGCGACGAUACAUAGCCGACCUGAGAGGGUGAUCGGCCACACUGGGACUGAGACACGGCCCAGACUCCUACGGGAGGCAGCAGUAGGGAAUCUUCGGCAAUGGACGGAAGUCUGACCGAGCAACGCCGCGGGAGUGAAGAAGGUUUUCGGAUCGUAAAGCUCUGUUGUAAGAGAAGAACGAGUGUGAGAGUGGAAAGUUCACACUGUGACGGUAUCUUACCAGAAAGGGACGGCUAACUACGUG